This 401-nucleotide ribosomal RNA is filed under the name uncultured bacterium. RNAcentral describes it as "bacterial SSU rRNA". It matches the Rfam family "Bacterial small subunit ribosomal RNA", at positions 54 to 458 of the family's 1533-position model. The record is from RNAcentral.
CAUGCAAGUCGAACGCGUCUUGGGGGCAACUCCAAGAUGAGUGGCGAACGGGUGAGUAACACGUGGGUAAUCUCCCCCCGAGUGAGGGAUAAGCCCCCGAAAGGGGGUCUAAUACCGCAUGUGGUUCAACAUUCAUUUGCUGAACUAAAGGAGAAAUCCGCUUUUGGAGGGGCCCGCGGCCCAUCAGCUAGUUGGUAGGGUAAUGGCCUACCAAGGCGGUGACGGGUAGCUGGUCUGAGAGGACGAUCAGCCACAUUGGCACUGAGACACGGGCCAAACUCCUACGGGAGGCAGCAGUGAGGAAUAUUGCGCAAUGGGCGAAAGCCAGACGCAGCAACGCCGCGUGGGCGAUGAAGGUCCUCGGAUCGUAAAGCCCUUUUCUAGAGGAAGAGGAAGGACAG